This 253-nucleotide ribosomal RNA is filed under the name uncultured bacterium. Its description in RNAcentral is "partial 16S ribosomal RNA". It matches the Rfam family "Bacterial small subunit ribosomal RNA", at positions 524 to 776 of the family's 1533-position model. The record is from RNAcentral.
UACGAACUGUGCGAACGUUAUUCGGAAUCACUGGGCUUAAAGGGUGCGUAGGCGGCCAUGUAAGUGGGGUGUGAAAUCCCUCGGCUCAACCGAGGAACUGCGCUCCAUACUGCAUGGCUUGAGGGAGACAGGGGUAAGCGGAACUGAUGGUGGAGCGGUGAAAUGCGUUGAUAUCAUCAGGAACACCGGUGGCGAAAGCGGCUUACUGGGUCUCUUCUGACGCUGAGGUACGAAAGCUAGGGUAGCGAACGGG